Molecule: long non-coding RNA, 1688 nt
Organism: Oncorhynchus kisutch (coho salmon)
Lineage: Eukaryota; Metazoa; Chordata; Actinopteri; Salmoniformes; Salmonidae
Exons: 3
Source: RefSeq, a predicted model, not a curated record
CCUGGCAACCCUGGUGAGCUUUCAGUUGACGUAGAACGCCUCCUGGCGGCUAUGUUGGAAGACUACUGCAUUAAUUAUUCUGACAACAGCCGAGGGGCUACCCCAAACUGAAUUAUAAGUGUGACUAGAACUAGUUGAUUCAUCACCACGGUCAUUUUCUGUGGAGUAUAUGGCUGCUCAAACGAGGCCGGAAACACAAAGGGGGAAAAAGAUGUUUAAAGAUUCCCCGCAAUCAUGAAACACCAUUGGCAAUACCAAUGAGAUAAGACUCAAGAACUCAGAGAAACGAAGAAACCUUUUUGCCCGUCAAGACCUCAACCUAGACAGCUGUCAAUACAGGGUUUGCUACGAUCAUUUCAUCAUUGGUGGUAUGGAUCAAGGACAGGACAGGUGUUCGAACAGAGGUGCUUAAAGGAAGGCGCACAGUAGGUUCACCAGCUGACCUAUAUCAAGACACCCAUGUUGACUGGAUUCCCCCUGUGAAGAUGGGUAAUGCUGCAGCAGCAUCAGUUUCUACUACUUCUUCAUCUUUUUCUCAAACAAGAUGCACCCCAUGGCUAUACAACUCGAUGGAUUCUUUAUUCACCAGGCAGACAGGAUAGUGGAGUCGGGGAGAGGCUGCCUUUCUGGUUCCGGUCAUUUUAAUUUGGCGUCACUAAAUCAAAAAGAUAUAUAAUUCACAUGCGCCAAAUACAACAGGUAUAGAUAGACCUUACAGUGAAAUUCUUACUUAUACAAGCCCUUAACCAACAAUGCAGUUAAGAAAAAUAAGUGUUAAAGUAUUUACUGAAAUAAACUGGAGAAAAGAAUGAAUUAAAAAAUUAAGGUGCAACAAUAAAAUAACAUUAGUCGAGGUAAUAUGUACAUGUAGGUAGAGGUAAAGUGACUAUGUUUGUAUAAUAAACAGUAGCAGAAAAAGUUUGGCAUGGGCUCUCAAAUCCUGAAAAGGUUCUACAACUGUACCUUUGAGAGCAUAUGGACUGGCUGCAUCACUGCUUGGUAUAGCAAUAGCAUCGCCCUCGAUCGCAUGGCGCUAGAGAGGGUUGUGCGGGCAGCCCAGUACAUCACUGAGGCCGAGCUCCCUGCCAUCCUGGACCUCCAUAUCAGGUGAAAGACCCCAACCACCCAAGCCAUAGAUUCUCUGCUGCAGCACAGCAAGAGAUGGAACAGCUUCUAUCCCCAAGCAAUACCACUGAUAAUUAGCUAACAAAAUUGCUACACGGACCAAGCUUACCUUGCAUCUUUGUUGACCUUUUAUUUCAGUGUUUUGCACCAUCUAUGCACACUCACAGGGCCCUACACACGGUCACUCCAAAACAAACACUCAAUUUUCUCACUCACACAUAAUAUGCACAUACAUUUAUACAAACUACACACCCACAAGCUGCUGUUACUCUGUUUAUCUUAUAUCCUGUUGCCUAAUCACCUUACCCCUAUACAUAUCUACCUCCAUCACCCCAGUAUCCCUGUCACCUUACCCCUAUACAUAUCUACCUCCAUCACCCCAGUAUCCCUGCACAUGUAAAUAUGGUAUUGGAACUAACUCUUUUAAUAUUUCCUGUAUAUAGUAUGUUUGUUUACUUUAUUGUGUUUUUCAUAUUUCUUGUGUGCUUUUUUCUAGAAAUACAUUUGAUUAUUGCAUUGUUGGUUUUUGAGUUUGCAUUAAAGGCAUUUUACUGCGCAUGUGA